Molecule: ribosomal RNA, 466 nt
Filed under: uncultured bacterium
Lineage: Bacteria
Description: partial 16S ribosomal RNA
Rfam family: Bacterial small subunit ribosomal RNA
Source: RNAcentral
GACGAACGCUGGCGGCGCGCCUAACACAUGCAAGUCGAACGAGCGAGAGAGAGCUUGCUUUCUCGAGCGAGUGGCGAACGGGUGAGUAACGCGUGAGGAACCUGCCUCAAAGAGGGGGACAACAGUUGGAAACGACUGCUAAUACCGCAUAAGCCCACGGCUCGGCCUCGAGCAGGGGGAAAAGGAGCAAUCCGCUUUGAGAUGGCCUCGCGUCCGAUUAGCUAGUUGGUGGGGUAACGGCCCACCAAGGCGACGAUCGGUAGCCGGACUGAGAGGUUGAACGGCCACAUUGGGACUGAGACACGGCCCAGACUCCUACGGGAGGCAGCAGUGGGGAAUAUUGCACAAUGGGGGAAACCCUGAUGCAGCGACGCCGCGUGGAGGAAGAAGGUCUUCGGAUUGUAAACUCCUGUUGUUGGGGAAGAUAAUGACGGUACCCAACAAGGAAGUGACGGCUAACUACGUG